GAUGAACGCUAGCUACAGGCUUAACACAUGCAAGUCGAGGGGUAACGAGAGGAAAGCUUGCUUUCCUUGUCGACGACCGGCGCACGGGUGAGUAACGCGUAUCCAACCUGCCCCCAACUAGGGAAUAACCUUGCGAAAGUAAGACUAAUACCCUAUAAUUUCCUCAGAUGUCAUCUGACGAGGACUAAAGAUUUAUCGGUUGUGGAUGGGGAUGCGUCUGAUUAGCUUGUUGGCGGGGUAACGGCCCACCAAGGCAACGAUCGGUAGGGGUUCUGAGAGGAAGGUCCCCCACAUUGGAACUGAGACACGGUCCAAACUCCUACGGGAGGCAGCAGUGAGGAAUAUUGGUCAAUGGGCGGAAGCCCGAACCAGCCAAGUAGCGUGCAGGAUGACGGCCCUAUGGGUUGUAAACUGCUUUUAUACAGGAAUAAAGUUAGCCACGUGUGGUUAUUUGUAGGUACUGUAUGAAUAAGGACCGGCUAAUUCCGUGCCAGCCGCCGCAGUAA
Molecule: ribosomal RNA, 506 nt
Filed under: uncultured bacterium
Lineage: Bacteria
Description: partial 16S ribosomal RNA
Rfam family: Bacterial small subunit ribosomal RNA
Source: RNAcentral